AUUGAACGCUGGCGGCAUGCCUUACACAUGCAAGUCGAACGGUAACGGGCCUUCGGGUGCCGACGAGUGGCGAACGGGUGAGUAAUACAUCGGAACGUGCCCGAUCGUGGGGGAUAACGAGGCCAAAGCUUUGCUAAUACCGCAUACGAUCUACGGAUGAAAGCAGGGGACCGCAAGGCCUUGCGCGGACGGAGCGGCCGAUGGCAGAUUAGGUAGUUGGUGGGAUAAAAGCUUACCAAGCCGACGAUCUGUAGCUGGUCUGAGAGGAUGAUCAGCCACACUGGGACUGAGACACGGCCCAGACUCCUACGGGAGGCAGCAGUGGGGAAUUUUGGACAAUGGGCGCAAGCCUGAUCCAGCCAUGCCGCGUGCAGGAUGAAGGCCUUCGGGUUGUAAACUGCUUUUGUACGGAACGAAAAGCCUUCUUUUAAUACAGGAGGGUCAUGACGGUACCGUAAGAAUAAGCACCGGCUAACUACGUG
This 482-nucleotide ribosomal RNA is filed under the name uncultured bacterium. Its description in RNAcentral is "partial 16S ribosomal RNA". It matches the Rfam family "Bacterial small subunit ribosomal RNA", at positions 30 to 507 of the family's 1533-position model. The record is from RNAcentral.